RNAcentral lists this ribosomal RNA (460 nucleotides) under uncultured bacterium. RNAcentral describes it as "partial 16S ribosomal RNA". It matches the Rfam family "Bacterial small subunit ribosomal RNA", at positions 338 to 795 of the family's 1533-position model. The record is from RNAcentral.
CCUACGGGUGGCAGCAGUGAGGAAUAUUGGUCAAUGGCCGUAAGGCUGAACCAGCCAAGUAGCGUGAGGGAAGACUGCCCUAUGGGUUGUAAACCUCUUUUAUGCGGGGAUAAAGGUGUCCACGUGUGGCUGUUUGCAGGUACCGCAUGAAUAAGGACCGGCUAAUUCCGUGCCAGCAGCCGCGGUAAUACGGAAGGUCCGGGCGUUAUCCGGAUUUAUUGGGUUUAAAGGGAGCGUAGGCCGGUCUUUAAGCGUGCCGUGAAAUUUUGUGGCUCAACCAUGAGAGUGCGGUGCGUACUGGAGGCCUUGAGUGCGCGGAAGGCAGGCGGAAUUCGUGGUGUAGCGGUGAAAUGCUUAGAUAUCACGAAGAACUCCGAUUGCGAAGGCAGCAUACCGGCGCUCAACUGACGCUCAUGCACGAAAGCGUGGGUAUCGAACAGGAUUAGAUACCCGAGUAGUC